This 186-nucleotide unclassified non-coding RNA is filed under the name Glomeraceae sp. Its description in RNAcentral is "partial contains 5.8S ribosomal RNA and internal transcribed spacer 2". The stretch from base 1 to 71 matches the Rfam family "5.8S ribosomal RNA", at positions 84 to 154 of the family's 154-position model. The record is from RNAcentral. Lineage: Eukaryota; Fungi; Glomeromycota; Glomeromycetes; Glomerales; Glomeraceae.
GUGAAUCAUCGAAUUUUUGAACGCAAAUUGCACUCUCUGGUAUUCCGGGGAGUAUGCCUGUUUGAGGGUCAGUUUAAAUUAAAAAUCGAGGUGUUGCUUUUUUUUUUGCGGCUUGGGAAUGGGGUUAUCUUUUUCCUUUGGAUUUUUUAGGAGACCUAAAAUGGAUACUUUGUGCAUUCCGAACGA